Molecule: non-coding RNA, 30 nt
Filed under: Mus musculus (house mouse)
Lineage: Eukaryota; Metazoa; Chordata; Mammalia; Rodentia; Muridae
Source: RNAcentral
UCAAACAUGUUCCAAGAUUCCCAGUGAUGC